ACGAAGAAAACCAAUGUAAAGGGAAAACGUAAAGAGGUUCAAUAUCUUUAAUAACAAGAAUAUUUGUCACAUACAUGUUUAUUUGGGUUGAUUUAUUUAUGCAAAUAUUGUGCUGAUAUAGAGUUUUUACUUGUUACUUGAUUAUUAGCGAGAUGGAGGAGAUACGCCAGGCCAAAACACAUGUAGGAAUUUAUUUGGCCCAUCCGAGAUAGAUCUUGCUGCUGAAGGAAACGUGAAGACUGUUCCAGUCAGCUCAGCUUUUGACAUUAGUGGAUUCAAAAUAUGGUUGGGAGUCAAGAAAGUAUGCAAUUUGGAGUGAAUGGAUCACAACCUUUACCCAAAUGAUAUGGUUGAAUUUUAAUUUCUGCUUA
Long non-coding RNA from Juglans microcarpa x Juglans regia, 371 nucleotides. RefSeq lists it as uncharacterized. The record is from RefSeq and is a predicted model, not a curated record. The transcript has 3 exons. Lineage: Eukaryota; Viridiplantae; Streptophyta; Magnoliopsida; Fagales; Juglandaceae.